ACAGCAACACAAAAAUACAUGCACAUUAAGGUUUUGUAUUGUUGCAACCGCCUUCUCUUGAUUUUCCGUGCUUCUUUGGGUUAAAGCUGCCUUCACUUGAGGUGAUUUUUUGACAGGCGAUAAUCGCAUGUAAAAGUUGACUUGCUCUCUAUUUUGUGGCAAGCGAUUUUUGAAUCACUAUUUACACGAGUGAUUUUUCCAGAGCAAUGUUGAAUCGUCUGGAAAAUCGCCUCAUGUUAAGGCAGCUUAAGUAAGCAAAUACCGUUAAAACACCCAUUGGAGAUAGAUACAUUUCUAAUGGAUUUAGUUUGAAAAAAUAAAAACCACUAAUCUAUUGAUUUUUCUUCAUUAUAUUAUGGCGCGCCAAAACACAUGUAAAUGCAUUACCUGUGGUAUUAGACAAAAAAUUGUUCUGGGCUGCUUGGCAACACUUAUACAAACUAAAUAAGUCCUAAACUAUAUUACAAAAACGAUAGGAUAAAUUACCGAUAUUCAACAUUUAUAAGUUUAUGUUGAGUGAAACCCCUUUUAUAGCGUAUAGCAAAAGAGUAAAGCAAGCCAAGAAUUCCAACUUUAUGAUAUACGUAAAAAAUACAAAUAAAACAA
This is a long non-coding RNA of Rhagoletis zephyria (snowberry fruit fly), 606 nucleotides long. RefSeq lists it as uncharacterized. The record is from RefSeq and is a predicted model, not a curated record. Lineage: Eukaryota; Metazoa; Arthropoda; Insecta; Diptera; Tephritidae.